This 460-nucleotide ribosomal RNA is filed under the name uncultured bacterium. RNAcentral describes it as "partial 16S ribosomal RNA". It matches the Rfam family "Bacterial small subunit ribosomal RNA", at positions 338 to 795 of the family's 1533-position model. The record is from RNAcentral.
CCUACGGGAGGCAGCAGUGAGGAAUAUUGGUCAAUGGCCGUAAGGCUGAACCAGCCAAGUCGCGUGAGGGAAGACUGCCCUAUGGGUUGUAAACCUCUUUUAUGCGGGGGUAAAGGUGUCCACGUGUGGAUGUUUGCAGGUACCGCAUGAAUAAGGACCGGCUAAUUCCGUGCCAGCAGCCGCGGUAAUACGGAGGGUUCGGGCGUUAUCCGGAUUUAUUGGGUUUAAAGGGAGCGACGGCCGGCAUUUAAGCGCGCCGGGAAAUUUUGUGGCUUAACCAUGUGGGAGCGGAGCGAACUGGAGAUCUUGAGUGAGCGGAAGGAAGGCGGAAUGCGUGGUGUAGCGGUGAAAUGCUUAGAUAUCACGCAGAACUCCGAUUGCGAAGGCAGCCUGCCGCCGCGUUACUGACGCUGAAGCACGAAAGCGUGGGUAUCGAACAGGAUUAGAUACCCUUGUAGUC